This 576-nucleotide long non-coding RNA is filed under the name Mytilus galloprovincialis (Mediterranean mussel). Lineage: Eukaryota; Metazoa; Mollusca; Bivalvia; Mytilida; Mytilidae. The record is from RNAcentral.
AAUUUUGAUUUUUUUCUUUUAAUAUUUUCAAAACCUCAACUGAACAAUUCAAUCCAUGCAAUUUCAUGUCUUUGGAUAAAUUGGAUCAUUGCCAAGUCUAAGAUAUUACAAAAUAUGUUCUCAUAGAGGAGCCACCAAAGCCUCAACAGUGGUUACCAUACAGAUGCCUAGCCUGGUCACCAUGGAGACUUCCACGCAGUAGACACCAAUUCUUCUUCCUCUUUCUUCUUGUAAAGAUAGUUCCCAAAGUUGAGCCCUCGAUGACAAAAUGUUGUUGUUGCUUUGUGUUGCUGUUGUUGUAAGUCGUGUUGGUUCACCAUGACAACAUAUUGUUGUUAAAACAGCCAUGUUUUCAGUCGAAAGCAUGGUACCUGGUCAAACUAAGACUUUGAUCACGUGACCACGCUAAUUCAUCAUCAUCAUUUUCAUCAUCUUCAUCAUCAUCAAUAGGAGUUCUCAACUGAACACAUGGUUGCAAUACCUUGGUCUAUAGCUGAACACAUCAAUUGGAGUCUUAAAAAUAAACGAUGGCAACGUCUACUUAGACCUGAAAGUAAACAAAUGUAGUUGAUAAAC